GACGAACGCUGGCGGCGUGCUUAACACAUGCAAGUCGAACGGAAAGGCCCUGCUUUUGUGGGGUGCUCGAGUGGCGAACGGGUGAGUAACACGUGAGUAACCUGCCCUUGACUUUGGGAUAACUUCAGGAAACUGGGGCUAAUACCGGAUAGGAGCUCCUGCUGCAUGGUGGGGGUUGGAAAGUUUCGGCGGUUGGGGAUGGACUCGCGGCUUAUCAGCUGGUUGGUGUGGUAGUGGCUUACCAAGGCUUUGACGGGUAGCCGGCCUGAGAGGGUGACCGGCCACAUUGGUACUGAGAUACGGCCCAGACGCCUACGGGAGGCAGCAGUGGAGAAUAUUGCACAAUGGGCGGAAGCCUGAGGCAGCAACGCCGCGUGCGGGAUGACGGCCUUCGGGUUGUAAACCGCUUUCGCCUGUGACGAAGCGUGAGUGACGGUAAUGGGUAAAGAAGCACCGGCUAACUACGUG
This 468-nucleotide ribosomal RNA is filed under the name uncultured bacterium. RNAcentral describes it as "partial 16S ribosomal RNA". It matches the Rfam family "Bacterial small subunit ribosomal RNA", at positions 28 to 507 of the family's 1533-position model. The record is from RNAcentral.